CAUCUUUUAAAAAAAUGACAUAUUUGCUUCCCACUCCCCGUGCAAGGAUCAAACCUAGGAUCUUGUGUAUGUAAUAGCUUUCAGCCACUGAACUACAUUCCCAGCCCUUAAAAUGACAUCAGCUGUGCACCUCCUACCAACUUAAAGUCACUGUCAGAUGGUUCAGCUGUCUGUGAUACAAUGUAAGGGCUGUGUCAGUGACUGCUGUACUCUGCUGCUUAUGGAAUAGUGACAAGAAAAGAUCUGCACGUGCACUUUAUCAACUCCAUUUUCAAACUUAAAUUAUGUGUAUGUUUUGACUACAUGUAUGUAGUAUCCAAGGAGGCCAGAAGAUGGUGUCAGAUCCCCUGGGACUAGAGUCACAGAUGGGUGUGAGCUGCCCUAUGGGUGCUAGGAAUCAAACGUGGGUCCCCUGGGAACAGCAACCAGUGCUGUUAACAGUUGAGCCAUCUUUCUAGCUCCAGCCUCAUUCAUUGUGUGUGUUUUCCAUCUGAGGUUGCUUGAGUCCACAAUAGAGAACCCAGGGACAGAGUGGGCCAAUGACAGUGCCAUUUUAUCGUAUGUGUCAAAUAAGAUCAUAACAGUCUCUCUUCAUUGUCACAGGGAUGCUUCUUUCCGGCUACCUAUCUACCGUAAGUCAAGAAAACCGCCAUUGGGAGGUUAAGUAACAAAGCUAUGGGGAACUGAGCCCCUUCUAUCAUGCUCCGGCUUCCAGCCCAGUAGCUGGCUGAACAUCUGGGCUUCCAUGGGAACUAGCAGGAUGAAGAGUGGAUGUGUAUAAUGAAACAGACAGCAACCCAUACAUUGCUGCUACUCACAGGACCAGAGAAUUAAGCAGGACUGAAGACAAAGUCUCACAGAGAGGGCAUACAGCCUGGAGACACACAAAGAAGGCAGAGAUUGGCAGCCAGGAUGCAGCCACCUACAGUAUGAGUACAGGUCUGUGAAGGUGGGGCCUCUAGCUAGCGGGAGCUACCCACUGCCCUGAGCCUGGCCUCCUUGCAGGUCAGGGAUUAGUAGCCUGAGGCUGGGGAAGAAAGCUCUGGCUUGAGUGAGGAGGUGUUUCCUGGGGGUCAUCACUCACCAGCCUGUGAUAAUGCUGGUGCUGCUUCAGUCCUCUCUUCCUCAGUUUCCCUACAUGUAACAUGGGGCUGAAAUGGAGGGGCUGCGCACCAGCAUCAGCACAGCACUGGCCUACUCCUGCUAUCUAUGAUGUCUGUCUGUGAUGCACCAUACAAGGCAUCUGAGUGGUUUCUCUCAAUUUCCCUGUUAGCAAACGAGUGGGCUGACCUGGAUGGUAAAUGUCUUAACUACCCCUAUGGGCCCCUCUGUCUUCCAUCCCCAGGGCCUCAAGGGGAGGAGCCAAGAGCCUGGGGCUAUCAGCAGGAAACAGUCACUCACCCCCAAGCAGUCUCUGAUUGGUGAAAGUGAACCACUUGACAAAGUGUUCAGCCAAGCAGAAAGCCAGCCAUGUAAUCAGUUCCCUCUGUGUUCUGGUCUUUCUGCUGCUUCUGGCCUGCUAAGCUGGACCCCACUGUGUGCCAACACCGCUUCUCUUUCCAGCUUCUCCCACCUAAUCUGGAGAGCAUGUCAGUGCAGGGAAGACAGUGGCUAAUCAGAGCUUUGUCCCAUGUUGGUUUCAUGGCUGGACUCCGGCCAAAGGCUGGGCUGGUGGGGUCUGGACCUGAAGAGGGGUCACUGGGUGACUCAGGGAUGAAGAUCAAAUGGAGGAAGAUGUUUGCCCCUGGGGGUCCCUCCUCUUGGCAGCUGCCAGGCCCAGUUCCUCCAAGUUAGCAGUAGACAAGAGGCUAGCCCUGGUAGAUCCUUGCAUCACCACAUAUGGAAUGCAUCUCCAAACACACCUAAGGCAACGAUUCCCAGGUACAGUUUCUCUGACCACAGUAUUUUAGAACGAUCUUGGGAGCUAUCUGUAGAGUGGCUAAUGUUUUCCUUCACAAGCCUGGAUGUCAUUUGCCAUCUGUGACUACCAUCUUGCCUCACAAGACAGAGCAUUUCAGUAGAGAAAAAAAUGGAAAUAUAUACCCUCUGAAUAAAUAAUAAUCUCUAUUAUUUUUUAUGUUUUAGUGCAUUUUGUACCACUGUAACACAAGCAAGGUGGUUUAUAAUGAGCCUACAGUAUUUGUUGUCUUGUGUUCUUGGAGUCUGGGCCAUCUCAGAUGGAAUGGUCAGUGGCUAGUAAUGUCCUUCCUCCUGUCAUGCCACCCAUGACAGAAGGACAGAGAGCAACAGAGAGCUUGAUGGGGUCAAAUCUAUCAUUGUGUAAGGAACUCACAGCCUUAGCCCACUCAUGGAAGGUAGAGUGCUUGUUGCUGAAUCACUCUGUAAGGUCCCGCCUCCUAACACCACCAAAGAUCAAGCUUCCAACAUUCAA
Non-coding RNA from Cricetulus griseus (Chinese hamster), 2392 nucleotides. Lineage: Eukaryota; Metazoa; Chordata; Mammalia; Rodentia; Cricetidae. The record is from RefSeq and is a predicted model, not a curated record.